AACCAAUAAUAAUGAAUUAAUCAAAUUAAAUUAUUAUUCAUUAUUAGUUCAGGUAAUUAAUUAUUAACUGAGCUUACAUCUUCAGCUUCAAACAAUGUCCUGUGUGUCCACAGCUGAAAGAUAAGGUAAGCAAAAUAUGCAACCAACAUGGUAAUGCUGGCGGCCCUCGACAAGUACAGCGAUNNNNNNNNNGCAUAACAAUGCCAGCAGAAGCAUUAGAGAGUUCACAUCUGCUUGUCUCUGCAAAAUUCAAUGCUUAACAUUAUUAGUCCCCAACGUAGAGCCACAAUAGAAAUUGUGUCUUUCUCGUUAUUUAUUUAUUUAUACUUUUUAUAAUUUUGAAUCAAUAGUAAAAUUGAUGAUUUUUUUUUCAUAAUCCAAAUUUUCCAUAAAAUUUUAAAUCCUUGUCCCUUUAAAUAAUUUUUCCCUUGGCAAGGGUUUCAAUUAACGUGUUUAUAGAGGUGCUUACUCUGUCAUAUUUUUGUUCCUUUGCAAGGUUUGCAAUGCCACCACACAAGAGAGAGGUUCCAAGAACCAGCAGAAGGUUUGAGAGGAUAGAACCCAGUAGAGAAUACUUCACCAAAUCAACUUUGUUACUACUCAGUGCAAAUAUUGCUAUG
This 620-nucleotide long non-coding RNA is filed under the name Arachis ipaensis. Its description in RNAcentral is "long non-coding RNA (AIPA_LNC000972)". Lineage: Eukaryota; Viridiplantae; Streptophyta; Magnoliopsida; Fabales; Fabaceae. The record is from RNAcentral.